UUAAGUUAUUAAGGGCGCACGGUGGAUGCCUUGGCACUAGAAGCCGACGAAGGACGUUACUAACGACGAUAUGCUUUGGGGAGCUGUAAGUAAGCUUUGAUCCAGAGAUUUCCGAAUGGGGAAACCCAGCACGAGUUAUGUCGUGUUAUCGAUAUGUGAAUACAUAGCAUAUCUGAAGGCAGACGCGGAGAACUGAAACAUCUUAGUACCCGCAGGAAGAGAAAGAAAAAUCGAUUCCCUGAGUAGCGGCGAGCGAAACGGGAAGAGCCCAAACCAAUGAGCUUGCUUGUUGGGGUUGUAGGACACUCUAUACGGAGUUACAAAAGAACAGACUAGACGAAUCAUCUGGAAAGAUGAAUCAAAGAAGGUAAUAAUCCUGUAGUCGAAAGUUUGUUCACUCUUGAGUGGAUCCUGAGUACGACGGAACACGAGAAAUUCCGUCGGAAUCUGGGAGGACCAUCUCCCAAGGCUAAAUACUCUCUAGUGACCGAUAGUGAACCAGUACCGUGAGGGAAAGGUGAAAAGUACCCCGGAAGGGGAGUGAAAUAGAACUUGAAACCGUGUGCUUACAAGUAGUCAGAGCCCGUUAAUGGGUGAUGGCGUGCCUUUUGUAGAAUGAACCGGCGAGUUACGAUUUGAUGCAAGGUUAAGCAGUGAAUGUGGAGCCGUAGCGAAAGCGAGUCUGAAUAGGGCGUUGAGUAUUUGGUCGUAGACCCGAAACCAGGUGAUCUACCCAUGACCAGGUUGAAGUUCAGGUAACACUGAAUGGAGGACCGAACCGACUUACGUUGAAAAGUGAGCGGAUGAGUUGUGGGUAGCGGAGAAAUUCCAAUCGAACCUGGAGAUAGCUGGUUCUCUCCGAAAUAGCUUUAGGGCUAGCCUCAAGUGAUGAUUAUUGGAGGUAGAGCACUGUUUGGACGAGGGGCCCUUAUCGGGUUACCGAAUUCAGACAAACUCCAAAUGCCAAUCAAUUUAACUUGGGAGUCAGAACGCGGGUGAUAAGGUCCGUGUUCGAAAGGGAAACAGCCCAGACCACCAGCUAAGGUCCCAAAAUAUAUGUUAAGUGGAAAAGGAUGUGGCGUUGCCCAGACAACUAGGAUGUUGGCUUAGAAGCAGCCAUCAUUUAAAGAGUGCGUAAUAGCUCACUAGUCGAGUGACACUGCGCCGAAAAUGUACCGGGGCUAAACAUAUUACCGAAGCUGUGGAUUGUCCGUAAGGACAAUGGUAGGAGAGCGUUCUAAGGGCGUUGAAGCAUGAUCGCAAGGACAUGUGGAGCGCUUAGAAGUGAGAAUGCCGGUGUGAGUAGCGAAAGACGGGUGAGAAUCCCGUCCACCGAUUGACUAAGGUUUCCAGAGGAAGGCUCGUCCGCUCUGGGUUAGUCGGGUCCUAAGCUGAGGCCGAUAGGCGUAGGCGAUGGAUAACAGGUUGAUAUUCCUGUACCACCAUUAUUCGUUUUAAGCGAUGGGGGGACGCAGUAGGAUAGGCGAAGCGUACGAUUGGAUUGUACGUCCAAGCAGUGAGAUUGAGUGUUAGGCAAAUCCGGCACUCUUAAGAUUGAGCUGUGAUGGGGAGAGGAAAUUGUUUCCUCGAGUCGUUGAUUUCACACUGCCAAGAAAAGCCUCUAGCUAGAAUUGUGGUGCCCGUACCGCAAACCGACACAGGUAGUCAAGAUGAGAAUUCUAAGGUGAGCGAGCGAACUCUCGUUAAGGAACUCGGCAAAAUGACCCCGUAACUUCGGGAGAAGGGGUGCUCUUUAGGGUUAACGCCCAGGAGAGCCGCAGUGAAUAGGCCCAAGCGACUGUUUAUCAAAAACACAGGUCUCUGCUAAACCGUAAGGUGAUGUAUAGGGGCUGACGCCUGCCCGGUGCUGGAAGGUUAAGAGGAGUGGUUAGCUUCUGCGAAGCUACGAAUCGAAGCCCCAGUAAACGGCGGCCGUAACUAUAACGGUCCUAAGGUAGCGAAAUUCCUUGUCGGGUAAGUUCCGACCCGCACGAAAGGCGUAACGAUUUGGGCACUGUCUCAACGAGAGACUCGGUGAAAUCAUAGUACCUGUGAAGAUGCAGGUUACCCGCGACAGGACGGAAAGACCCCGUGGAGCUUUACUGUAGUCUGAUAUUGAAAUUCGGCACAGCUUGUACAGGAUAGGUAGGAGCCUGAGAUACGUGAGCGCUAGCUUACGUGGAGGCGUUGGUGGGAUACUACCCUCGCUGUGUUGGAUUUCUAACCCGCACCAUUUAUCAUGGUGGGAGACAGUGUCAGAUGGGCAGUUUGACUGGGGCGGUCGCCUCCUAAAGAGUAACGGAGGCGCUCAAAGGUUUCCUCAGAAUGGUUGGAAAUCAUUCAUAGAGUGUAAAGGCAUAAGGAAGCUUGACUGCGAGACUUACAAGUCGAGCAGGGUCGAAAGACGGACUUAGUGAUCCGGUGGUUCCGCAUGGAAGGGCCAUCGCUCAACGGAUAAAAGCUACCCCGGGGAUAACAGGCUUAUCUCCCCCAAGAGUUCACAUCGACGGGGAGGUUUGGCACCUCGAUGUCGGCUCAUCGCAUCCUGGGGCUGUAGUCGGUCCCAAGGGUUGGGCUGUUCGCCCAUUAAAGCGGUACGCGAGCUGGGUUCAGAACGUCGUGAGACAGUUCGGUCCCUAUCCGUCGUGGGCGUAGGAAAUUUGAGAGGAGCUGUCCUUAGUACGAGAGGACCGGGAUGGACAUACCUCUGGUGUACCAGUUGUCGUGCCAACGGCAUCGCUGGGUAGCUAUGUAUGGACGGGAUAAGUGCUGAAAGCAUCUAAGCAUGAAGCCCCCCUCAAGAUGAGAUUUCCCAACUUCGGUUAUAAGAUCCCUCAAAGAUGAUGAGGUUAAUAGGUUCGAGGUGGAAGCAUAGCGAUAUGUGCAGCUGACGAAUACUAAUCGAUCGAAGACUUAAUCAA
RNAcentral lists this ribosomal RNA (2921 nucleotides) under Staphylococcus saprophyticus. Its description in RNAcentral is "bacterial LSU rRNA". It matches the Rfam family "Bacterial large subunit ribosomal RNA". Lineage: Bacteria; Bacillati; Bacillota; Bacilli; Caryophanales; Staphylococcaceae. The record is from RNAcentral.